ACUUGAAGGCCCUUCAUUCAUGAACUGUUGUGCAGGGGAUAAAGUCUUCCUACUGACUUCCUCUUGAACCCCUGUCCCACUUCCCGUGUCUGCGUAGAGAAAGCUCACCACAGACGAAUGUGCUGUCUUCCUUUGCCUUCUGCUCCGGCAGCAGCUCUCCACCCUCUCCUCUAUCUCAGGAACACCUGGCCUCAGAGCUCAGAGGAGGAGAUAAUUUGAUUGGUUGGAAUUCAGUGAAAGAAUCUCAAACCCUGCUGCUAUAAAUUGGUAGAUGAAGGAGGAACUCAGUUACCAGAAGAGGAACAGAGGCACUGGCUUUGAAAGGUUUGGAACAGAGGAAGAAUACCUGACAUUUAUUUGUUGCCAGGAGCUAGGACAAACUGAUACUCAGCGGAAGGAGUCCUGAGAAUAAAGAAGUGCAGAAAAUGGCUG
Pan troglodytes (chimpanzee) is the source of this 432-nucleotide long non-coding RNA. RefSeq lists it as uncharacterized. The transcript is spliced from 3 exons. The record is from RefSeq and is a predicted model, not a curated record. Lineage: Eukaryota; Metazoa; Chordata; Mammalia; Primates; Hominidae.